Molecule: ribosomal RNA, 89 nt
Filed under: Gallaecimonas pentaromativorans
Lineage: Bacteria; Pseudomonadati; Pseudomonadota; Gammaproteobacteria; Enterobacterales; Gallaecimonadaceae
Source: RNAcentral
ACCUGACUCCAUUCCGAACUCAGAAGUGAAACGCAGCCGCGCCGAUGGUAGUGUGGCAUUCGCCAUGUGAGAGUAGGUCACCGCCAGGC